Molecule: ribosomal RNA, 253 nt
Filed under: uncultured bacterium
Lineage: Bacteria
Description: partial 16S ribosomal RNA
Rfam family: Bacterial small subunit ribosomal RNA
Source: RNAcentral
UACGGGGGGUGCAAACGUUGCUCGGAAUUAUUGGGCGUAAAGCGCACGUAGGCGGUCUCGUAAGUCGGGUGUGAAAGCCCGGGGCUUAACCCCGGAAGUGCACUCGAAACUGCAAGGCUUGAGUACGGAAGAGGGUCUCGGAAUUCCCGGUGUAGAGGUGAAAUUCGUAGAUAUCGGGAGGAACACCAGUGGCGAAGGCGGAGACCUGGGCCGAUACUGACACUGAGACGCGAAAGCAUGGGGAGCAAACAGG